AGUGAACGCUGGCGGUAGGCCUAACACAUGCAAGUCGAACGGCAGCACAGUAAGAGCUUGCUCUUACGGGUGGCGAGUGGCGGACGGGUGAGGAAUACAUCGGAAUCUACUUUUUCGUGGGGGAUAACGUAGGGAAACUUACGCUAAUACCGCAUACGACCUACGGGUGAAAGCAGGGGAUCUUCGGACCUUUCGCGAUUGAAUGAGCUGAUGUCGGAUUAGCUAGUUGGCGGGGUAAAGGCCCACCAAGGCGACGAUCCGUAGCUGAUCUGAGAGGAUGACCAGCCACACUGGAACUGAGACACGGUCCAGACUCCUACGGGAGGCAGCAGUGGGGAAUAUUGGACAAUGGGCGCAAGCCUGAUCCAGCCAUACCGCGUGAGUGAAGAAGGCCUUCGGGUUGUAAAGCCCUUUUGUUGGGAAAGAAAAGCAGCAGGUUAAUACCCCGCUGUUCUGACGGUACCCAAAGAAUAAGCACCGGCUAACUUCGUG
RNAcentral lists this ribosomal RNA (492 nucleotides) under uncultured bacterium. RNAcentral's name for it is "partial 16S ribosomal RNA". It matches the Rfam family "Bacterial small subunit ribosomal RNA", at positions 29 to 507 of the family's 1533-position model. The record is from RNAcentral.